RNAcentral lists this transfer RNA (84 nucleotides) under Yarrowia lipolytica CLIB122. RNAcentral's name for it is "tRNA YALI0_F29733r". It matches the Rfam family "tRNA". Rfam says of the family: Transfer RNA (tRNA) molecules are approximately 80 nucleotides in length. Their secondary structure includes four short double-helical elements and three loops (D, anti-codon, and T loops). The record is from RNAcentral. Lineage: Eukaryota; Fungi; Ascomycota; Dipodascomycetes; Dipodascales.
GGCAAUUUGUCCGAGUGGUUAAGGAGUUUGACUUGAAUUAUCAAAUGCGGUUUCCGCGCGUAGGUUCGAGUCCUGCAAUUGUCG